Molecule: unclassified non-coding RNA, 373 nt
Filed under: Hevea brasiliensis (rubber tree)
Lineage: Eukaryota; Viridiplantae; Streptophyta; Magnoliopsida; Malpighiales; Euphorbiaceae
Source: RNAcentral
GCCAGAGGUGUUUAUGAGGCGAUGUUUCGUCUCAGAUAUUAUGUAGAGGGUGACAAUGGCAAUGGCAUUGGCGUUGUUGACUCUGUCAAAGCCUCGUCUAAUCUUCGUUGAGCAGACUUGGUUCUGUAACACCAUAUCUAAAAAGCCUCGCUAAGGUCUGGAUAUUUAACCUGUUCAGCACUUAUCCAAUCUGCUAGAAUGUCAGCUUGAUCAUUUGACGGUAAUGCUGAAACCAAUGAAACUAUAGCUCCCUCGACACACUGGCAAAGGUCAUCGCUCAUCUUGUAUGGAAAUGCAGCCUCCAUUUCAUCGGAAAGGGACUUCAUUUUUCUUAUGUAUGGAAGCCAUGUCUUGAGCAAUUCUACUCGACUUU